Cygnus olor (mute swan) is the source of this 1768-nucleotide long non-coding RNA. RefSeq lists it as uncharacterized. The record is from RefSeq and is a predicted model, not a curated record. Lineage: Eukaryota; Metazoa; Chordata; Aves; Anseriformes; Anatidae. The transcript has 5 exons.
UCUUAUUCUUUCUGUAUAGCCACCACAGUGCAGUCCCUUGCCUCCAAACUGGAGCCUCCUCCCUGUCUCCAAACCCAUAUAACAGGGCACGCGGCGUACAGGAGACACAGGAGGGAGGAAGGAGAAGGGGAAGGCUGGGGAAGGCGUUUACACCUCGUAUCAUUGCUGCACGUGGGGCUCGUUCAGCAGCAUUUCUGAGCUCCUGCAUCAGCCCUUGCACAAGUGUGUCACCUCUCGCCUUCGGUGCUGCCGCUGCCCCCUCCACACCGCACCGCACUCAGCAUCGCCCCUGGCAGUGCCCUGCUGCUGGAGCCAAGCCCGAGAGAAGAACAAGAGGUCAGAAAGUGCAGAAGAACAGCAAGUGGUGCUGGUGCUCGGCUGCCGGAGCAUCUUCAGGAACAAGAUUUCAAGACAUUCAAAGCCACGGCAACAACAGCAGCACUGCCACCACUGCCACCAAACGUGCCAAGACAGAACAUUGCAAGAGCUGGCAGUAAGGCCACUUUUGGAGACCAGCCAAGACGCAGACACGGAACAGUUCCAGGCCUCCUAGUCAUUACAGGCUCGUCUGCUGCCCAGAGAUGCCUUUUGCACAAGUCUCGCUUUUCCCCAAAUGCAGAGUCUAGAAGAAAGAGGAACUUAAGAACCUUUAUUGGAGCUUGAUGCUAAACCACAAAUUCUUUCUGAACUGAGACUUAGUGUCACAUUUGCCCCAAGAACUGGGCCGUUGGGUUUGCAGAUGCCACUGAGACACUGUCUGAGAUCUCCUCUAGCUUCUGGGAUGUUGGUGUGUCCCAAACUUGGAGUGAACGCGGCACCAUUGGUAGCUCAAACCUCCUGACUUGAGGCAGGGAGGCAGCAUUAUGGAUGAGGGGGUUGUUGUUCAUUUCCCAGCUCUGCGUGCUGCUCCUGUGCUCUGUCAGUGCUGGAAGCUGACGUACACAAGCGCGGCUCUGCCCAUCUCGUAGGGCCAAGCAGGCCCAUAUUGCUCAAGCGGAUUGGUGCCAUGGUUUUGAAAUCCCAGCCCUGCAUCGCUCAGCACCACGGUGGGGAUGGAGUUGCUCACUUUUCCUCACAAAGCGAUGGACAAUGGAGUCCCCACCGCUGCGGCUACUCUCGGUGCUGGCAGCCACGGCAGCUCUUGGUCUCACUUAAGACACCUGGAUGCUUGAGGGAGGGGGCUCAGCCCCACGCUUGCAUUCCUAGAGGCAGCACUGGAGACUCAACCCGGCGGUGACGCUGCCUGCCACCGGUGUUGUUUUACGGGGCGCGUGGCAAACAACGCGCGCUGUUUGUCCUGGCCUCCUGCCCGGCGCCGCAGCCGGCCCCGCAGGAUGGAGACCCGCGCUCACCGCUGGGGCACGCAUCUCCUCCUCCCUGCUUCGAUUUCAGCGAAAGGCAGCCCCAAAAGGCCGAUUUUUGGGACCCCAUGCGGCGGGUGAGCAGGUGCUGGGGCUCCUGCGCAGCGUCAGCCGGCAAGUCAGACACUGCAAGAAGCACACUGCUCUCCUUCCUCCGUCUGCUGCUGCCGCAUGACUCAAUAUUUGCUCUGGUUACAGCUCUCUUCUUAUCAGAGCUUCCUACUGCUUCACCCCUCCGUUUCCCCCCUUCCUGACAGCCGUGGCUCAUCUCUUCCUGCCUCAUGGCGCCAGGCAAUGAGCACCCAACGCCGCCGAUCCCUGAGGAGUGCCCGUCCUGCCGGGGCGGCCGAGCCUGUCCCAGCACCCUGGGCAAAUCCGUCCAAAUAAAACCAAGGGAAAGGAAAAAA